RNAcentral lists this ribosomal RNA (342 nucleotides) under Metabacillus indicus. RNAcentral describes it as "bacterial SSU rRNA". It matches the Rfam family "Bacterial small subunit ribosomal RNA", at positions 166 to 493 of the family's 1533-position model. The record is from RNAcentral. Lineage: Bacteria; Bacillati; Bacillota; Bacilli; Caryophanales; Bacillaceae.
UAACCGGAUACUAUGUCAAACCGCAUGGUUUGACAUUCAAAGACGGUUUCGGCUGUCACUUACAGAUGGGCCCGCCCGCGCAUUAGCUAGUUGGUGAGGUAAUGGCUCACCAAGGCAACGAUGCGUAGCCGACCUGAGAGGGUGAUCGGCCACACUGGGACUGACACACGGCCCAAACUCCUACGGGAGGCAGCAUUAGGGAAUCUUCCGCAAUGGACGAAAGUCUGACGGAUCAACGCCGCGUGAGUGAUGAAGGUUUUCGGAUCGUAAAACUCUGUUGUCAGGAAAAAACAAUUGCCGGAAUAACUGCCGGCACCUUGACGGUACCUGAACAAAAAGCCA